This 389-nucleotide ribosomal RNA is filed under the name Mus cf. gratus TA-2014. Its description in RNAcentral is "partial small subunit ribosomal RNA". Lineage: Eukaryota; Metazoa; Chordata; Mammalia; Rodentia; Muridae. The record is from RNAcentral.
GCUUAGCCGUAAACUURAAUACUUAAAYUAACAAAAUUAUUUGCCAGAGAACUACUAGCUACAGCUUAAAACUCAAAGGACUUGGCGGUACUUUAUAUCCAUCUAGAGGAGCCUGUUCUAUAAUCGAUAAACCCCGCUCUACCUCACCAUCUCUUGCUAAUUCAGCCUAUAUACCGCCAUCUUCAGCAAACCCUAAAAAGGAGAUAUAGUAAGCACAAGAAUAUCCAUAAAAACGUUAGGUCAAGGUGUAGCCAAUGAGGUGGGAAGUAAUGGGCUACAUUUUCUUUUAAAAGAACAUUACGAUAUCCUUUAUGAAACUAAAGGACUAAGGAGGAUUUAGUAGUAAAUUAAGAAUAGAGAGCUUAAUUGAAUAGAGCAAUGAAGUACGC